This 519-nucleotide ribosomal RNA is filed under the name uncultured bacterium. RNAcentral's name for it is "bacterial SSU rRNA". It matches the Rfam family "Bacterial small subunit ribosomal RNA", at positions 791 to 1310 of the family's 1533-position model. The record is from RNAcentral.
UAGUCCACGCCGUAAACGAUGAGUGCUAGGUGUUAGGGGGUUUCCGCCCCUUAGUGCUGAAGUUAACGCAUUAAGCACUCCGCCUGGGGAGUACGGCCGCAAGGCUGAAACUCAAAAGAAUUGACGGGGGCCCGCACAAGCGGUGGAGCAUGUGGUUUAAUUCGACGCAACGCGAAGAACCUUACCAGGUCUUGACAUCCUCUGAAAACGAUAGAGAUAUCGCUUUCCCUUCGGGGACAGAGUGACAGGUGGUGCAUGGUUGUCGUCAGCUCGUGUCGUGAGAUGUUGGGUUAAGUCCCGCAACGAGCGCAACCCUUGAUCUUAGUUGCCAUCAUUAAGUUGGGCACUCUAAGGUGACUGCCGGUGACAAACCGGAGGAAGGUGGGGAUGACGUCAAAUCAUCAUGCCCCUUAUGACCUGGGCUACACACGUGCUACAAUGGAUGGUACGAAGGGCAGCGAAGCCGCGAGGUGAAGCAAAUCCCAUAAAACCAUUCCCAGUUCGGAUUGUAGGCUGCAA